Molecule: ribosomal RNA, 971 nt
Filed under: uncultured Burkholderia sp.
Lineage: Bacteria; Pseudomonadati; Pseudomonadota; Betaproteobacteria; Burkholderiales; Burkholderiaceae
Description: bacterial SSU rRNA
Rfam family: Bacterial small subunit ribosomal RNA
Source: RNAcentral
AGUGGGGAAUUUUGGACAAUGGGCGAAAGCCUGAUCCAGCAAUGCCGCGUGUGAGAAGAAGGCCUUCGGGUUGUAAAGCACUUUUGUCCGGAAAGAAAUCCUUGGCUCUAAUACAGUCGGGGGAUGACGGUACCGGAAGAAUAAGCACCGGCUAACUACGUGCCAGCAGCCGCGGUAAUACGUAGGGUGCGAGCGUUAAUCGGAAUUACUGGGCGUAAAGCGUGCGCAGGCGGUUUGCUAAGACCGAUGUGAAAUCCCCGGGCUCAACCUGGGAACUGCAUUGGUGACUGGCAGGCUAGAGUAUGGCAGAGGGGGGUAGAAUUCCACGUGUAGCAGUGAAAUGCGUAGAGAUGUGGAGGAAUACCGAUGGCGAAGGCAGCCCCCUGGGCCAAUACUGACGCUCAUGCACGAAAGCGUGGGGAGCAAACAGGAUUAGAUACCCUGGUAGUCCACGCCCUAAACGAUGUCAACUAGUUGUUGGGGAUUCAUUUCCUUAGUAACGUAGCUAACGCGUGAAGUAGACCGCCUGGGGAGUACGGUCGCAAGAUUAAAACUCAAAGGAAUUGACGGGGACCCGCACAAGCGGUGGAUCAUGUGGAUUAAUUCGAUGCAACGCGAAAAACCUUACCUACAUCUUGACAUGGUCUGAAUCCCUUCUAGAGAUAGAAGUUUCCCCUUCGGGGAACAACAUCACAGGUGCUGCAUGGUUGUCGUCAGCUCGUGUCGUGAGAUGUUGGGUUAAGUCCCGCACCGAGCGCAACCCUUAAGCUUAGUUGCCAUCAUUAAGUAGAGCACUCUAAGUUGACUGCCGGUGACAAACCGGAGGAAGGUGGGGAUGACGUCAAAUCAUCAUGCCCCUUAUGAUUUGGGCUACACACGUGCUACAAUGGACAAUACAAAGGGCAGCCAACCCGCGAGGUCAAGCAAAUCCCAUAAAGUUGUUCUCAGUUCGGAUUGUAGUCUGCAACUCG